RNAcentral lists this long non-coding RNA (229 nucleotides) under Elaeis guineensis (African oil palm). Its description in RNAcentral is "long non-coding RNA (EGUI_LNC056351)". Lineage: Eukaryota; Viridiplantae; Streptophyta; Magnoliopsida; Arecales; Arecaceae. The record is from RNAcentral.
CUGUGGCUAAAGUCUUUCAGAGUUAUUUAGAAAUGAGAAUACAAAGGUUGUCAUCUCCUCUUACUAGGAGUGAUCGAUUCUUUGUUGACCUACUCACAACCUUCAUACACACUCUAUCAUAUCCAAAACAUCCCAUUCAUGAUUUAUUGCCAUGAUUGAGUAUGAAUCAAAAUAUAGGUUUAUGUGUGCGAAGUUUCAUAGUGGUCUCAGAUCUAAGAACCACAUGCAU